GACGAACGCUGGCGGCGUGCUUAACACAUGCCAGUCGAACGGAAAGGCCCUGCUUGCAGGGUGCUCGAGUGGCGAACGGGUGAGUAACACGUGGGUGAUCUGCCCCUUACUUUGGGAUAAGCCUGGGAAACUGGGUCUAAUACUGGAUAGGACCAUGCUGUAGGUGGUGUGGUGGAAAGAUUAGUUUCGGUAAGGGAUGAGCUCGCGGCCUAUCAGCUUGUUGGUGGGGUAAUGGCCUACCAAGGCGUCGACGGGUAGCCGGCCGGAGGGGGUGGACGGGACCAUUGGGGAUGAGAUCCGGCCCAGACUCCUGCGGGGGGCAGCAGUGGGGAAUAAUGCACAAUGGGCGCAAGCCUGAUGGAGCGACGGCGCGUGGGGGAUGACGGCAUUCGGGUUGUAAACUCCUUUCAGCCAUGACGAAGCCCUUGUGGUGACGGUAGUGGUAGAAGAAGCACCGGCUAACUACGUG
Molecule: ribosomal RNA, 469 nt
Filed under: uncultured bacterium
Lineage: Bacteria
Description: partial 16S ribosomal RNA
Rfam family: Bacterial small subunit ribosomal RNA
Source: RNAcentral